UUUCAUACGAUUAAAACAUUUAAUGAAAGUUAAUUGAUUUUAGGACAGAAACUUUUACGUGAUUUUGGUGGAAAAUCUGGUUAUAAGAAAAUUUUCUUAUAAAUAAAGGGGAUUAAUAUAGCCACACUCUAAGAUCUUAUUUUUACACCCUGCAUACGGGUCCUAUAACGUUAUAUGUUAUAUACAACCCCUGUAUUCAUGGGUGCUCGUAUGAUGUUAUACGGGUCGUAUACAUGGGCUGAUUUUUUUUUUAAUUUGACAUAAUAUUCCUUGAUUCGCUUGCGACCAACGUAAGUUAUUUGAUUGGACUUAAGUUUCUUCGAUUCACGUGCUAAUUAUUUGACUAGACGUAAUAUUCCUUGAUUCGUGCGUCAAUUAUUUGAUAAGAUGUAAUAUUCUGUUAAAACUUACUAUAUAAACGACUAUAAUCUUCUUCAUUUUUUAUUUAACUUCAAUUCGUUUCUUAUAUAUUCUCAUGUAUUUAAGUUAUAUUACGCUAUAACGUCGUUCUAGACAACAAUUAUUUGUUGGUGGUGACUCGACUAGCGAGUCGAAUCACAUGACGUAUAAUUUGAAUCAAGAUACCACUACGGGGUUAUUUGAUUAAAUCUUCCGUUCGAUUCAACUCUUGUGUCUGAUGCUAGUCAGGAUCUAUGGGCUUUUGAUAACUAUCAGGGUAAUCAUGUUGGUGUAAAUCCUAACAAUUUUGGGUUAGGUGAGUAUCACAGAAGUGACCCACGACCGUCCGGUAGUGAAAGACCGUUGUCCGGGGGUCAAGGUGACGACGAACCUAGUGAGUUUAAAACUGACCAGGUAUAACAAUAUAUCUUUAGAAAUUCCAUAGCAUGGAUGAUUUGAUGAACUGGUGUAGAAUCGUCGGACGCGACGAGUACGCCAUAGUUACCAUAUGAACGAAGUACGAGGAUCCCCCUAGCCACCGGCCGCUAAAAAUAUGGCUGAUAUACGAUUGUGGCGGCCACCACAAGCAAACAGACACGGUCAGACGUAGUGGAACCAGGAAAACCGGUUGUGAGUAUUGAGACAUUUAGAAAGAGAAUAGGAAUUUGGACUCUAAAGGUUGAUAAAGCUAAGCACAACCAUGAACCCUUUCUAUGUCUUGAGGGGCAUCCAUCCCUAAUGAAGCCGACUCCAGGUGAAGAGAGGACAGUGGAGCUGCUGACGCGUUAGAACAUGCGACCAUGAGACAUUCUAUAGACCAUUAAAAACAGAACCUCGUAAAUGUGUCAACAAGAAAUACAAUAUACAAUGCGCGAGUGAAAUUGGGUCGAAGGGAUCAAGUCGGCGAGACUCCAAUCCCGGUUCUUCAUAACCGAUUGAACUAAAUUGGGCUUGUUUUCUUCCACCGAACAGAUGAAAAGGAUGAAAGGUUACAAGAUGUUUUCUUUAUCCACCUGAAGUUUGAACAUUUUGUGGUGUGCCUUCCCGCAUGUGUUGCUUAUAGACGCCACCUACAAGUCGAACUUAUACAAAAUGCCGAUUGUCCAGAUUAUUAGUGUCCUACCUACUUACCUCUCGUAUUGCAUUGUCCAUGCGUUCAUAACCAACGAACGAGAGGAAAACUUAACGUCGGUGUUACAAAAGUUGAAAGGUUUACUGAACAGUGCUAUGGAGCCCCGUGUAAUAGUAACCAAUAAAGACCUCGCCCUCAUGAACGCAUGUGCACGCCUGUUUUCGAACGUCAGUCAUUCACUAUGUAGGUGGCACAUACAAGAGUAUCGUUAGACAUUGCAAGCCAAGCUUUAAAACAGAAAUAGAAUGUGAUAAGUUUCUAUACAAGUGGGGCAGGUUGAUUAACUCCACCACGGUUGAUGAUUAUAACUAUUGGUACGAUCGAAUACGAGAACGACUGCCAAGAAAAAAACGUGAUGACAUUAUGGAUUAUCUGUUCUCUAACUAGCUAAAACCACAUAGACAAAGGUUUGUGUCUCUUCGGACCGAUCAACAUCUUAACUUUAGUCAACGUACAACGAACAUGGUGGAGAGUCUGCAUGCGCUUUUGCAGAUGUACCUCAAUGAAUCAAAUAAGACGCUGAAAAAGUUGUACCUUUUAUCUAUCAGCUCCUGGAUAAUCAAGUAGCAGAGAUAGGACGCAACAUUAAGCAAAGCAGGAGUCGUACAAUGGAUCACCAUGACAAACCAAUCUUUGAUUUCCUUUGAAAGAACGUUUCACAUGCGUGUCUGAAUCUAUUAGUUAAUAAAAUCAAUGCCAUACAUAGGUUGCAAGAUGCUAAUGGUACAUGCGACUGUCGUUUGUUUACUAGCUGUGGGUUGCCAUGCACAUGUCGGUUGUUAUGGUAUCUACAGUCAGGUAAUGUAUCCUUUGACCCAUCGCGUCGUAUUUAGGUGAUAGGAUCCACUAGAUUCGAUAGUCCCCUUUUGGAGAAAGCUAGAUAUGAUAUCUUUAAACGAAAACGUCCAGGAAGAGGAUAUUAACGUCGACAACGAACUCGAGGAAGUUAAACAUCAUAUAAUGGGGAAGCGGGGAAGCCGAGAGCGGUGACGGAGAGCAUGAUUUCAAAGAUAAAAGAGGUGGUCAAUCCCCUCCCGACAAAUGUAAGACGACCACUCGUGUAGAAAAGCCCACGUGGACGUCCAACUUUAAAGGCUCAACCCGAAAAAAACAGUUUGUUUGUGGAACCUCCCAGACACGGUUCCAUUUUAACACAAGACGGUUAUGGUGAAUCAGGGCUCUUUACAAUAAGAGAGUCAUACCAUGCACAUGCAAGGCGUAGCUAGUUUAUCGAAACGGACAGUCUUUGUAUGCGGGCACCCACGUUUAUCGACGAGCUUGCGAAGGGCUCUAGAGAAAGGAAAGAAAAAGGCAAAGGCUCAAAAACCUUAUCAAUACAAGUCGCACGCACUGGCUCUACCUUUCUUGCCUCUAGCCCAGCAUAACCUCCUCAACCAUUACAAAAAGUUUAUUCCACCUUGCUUAUCUCUAUACUUUACGCAUAUACAGGACGUCUAGCCUGAUGGAAAUUGUGGUUUUCGAGCUAUAGUUGUAGGUUUGUCGCGUCAUGAAAUGGAGUGGCCAAUAAUUCGACGGAGCUUAUAGGAGAGUGCAACCGAUACUACGACUUAUGGAACACAAUAAAUGAUAUUGAGUUUCGAGACGCUCGACAUUCCUUAGAUUGGAAGGGCAUAAGUGACCGAUACUACGACUUAUGGAACACGAUAAAUGAUAUUGAGUUUCACAGGACUCUUGAUUGCUAACCGAUGGAAUAUCAUCUUUCACUUAAUAAGCGACAUUGGUUAUGCUACAUUUUUCCUCUUAUUUACAACAACCGAAGACAAUAUCCCUCAUCAAACCAUUACAAUCGUUCAUCUUAACAAAGAUCAUGUUAUCCACAUCAAGUUAGAGGGAGAUUAUCUAAUGUCUACCCCAUCAGGUUAUUAGUAACAACCAACAAGGAAUACAAUUGCUGAAACUUGAGAAAACAUGUAUAAGGAACGUAUAUUAUGUACGUCGAUAGUUAUAAGACUGUAGAGUGUGGAUUUAGGGGUUUUGUAAUUGUAAUAUUUAAUGAAAAUCGAUUACUUA
Molecule: long non-coding RNA, 3562 nt
Organism: Helianthus annuus (common sunflower)
Lineage: Eukaryota; Viridiplantae; Streptophyta; Magnoliopsida; Asterales; Asteraceae
Exons: 2
Source: RefSeq, a predicted model, not a curated record